Molecule: ribosomal RNA, 255 nt
Filed under: Triticum aestivum (bread wheat)
Lineage: Eukaryota; Viridiplantae; Streptophyta; Magnoliopsida; Poales; Poaceae
Description: partial small subunit ribosomal RNA
Source: RNAcentral
AUGCCUCCAACUUCGUGGAUCCGCCUUCGUCCCUCCUUCGCCUUCGAGAUGCCGCCGAGCGGGGCCCUGGAGCUCUGGCUGCAGCACGCCGACUGUGGCACCCCUGCAACUGGAGCGGAGGUCGCGGUCGUCGCUUUGGGCAAGGUCUUCAUGACCCGGGGCUGGGCCCGCAUCAGCAGCAGCGCCGUCCGUGAUAGAGGAGCAUCGUCCGCCCACCACCCGCCGUUGAGGAGCAGCUGCGCCGUCCGUUGCUGA